AGUGAACGCUGGCGGUAGGCCUAACACAUGCCAGUCGAACGGCAGCACAGUAAGAGCUUGCUCUUACGGGUGGCGAGUGGCGGACGGGUGAGGAAUACAUCGGAAUCUACUUUUUCGUGGGGGAUAACGUAGGGAAACUUACGCUAAUACCGCAUACGACCUACGGGUGAAAACAGGGGAUCUUCGGACCUUGCGCGAUUGAAUGAGCCGAUGUCGGAUUAGCUAGUUGGCGGGGUAAAGGCCCACCAAGGCGACGAUCCGUAGCUGGUCUGAGAGGAUGAUCAGCCACACUGGAACUGAGACACGGUCCAGACUCCUACGGGAGGCAGCAGUGGGGAAUAUUGGACAAUGGGCGCAAGCCUGAUCCAGCCAUACCGCGUGGGUGAAGAAGGCCUUCGGGUUGUAAAGCCCUUUUGUUGGGAAAGAAAGGCAGCAGGUUAAUACCCCGCUGUUCUGACGGUACCCAAAGAAUAAGCACCGGCUAACUUCGUG
Molecule: ribosomal RNA, 492 nt
Filed under: uncultured bacterium
Lineage: Bacteria
Description: partial 16S ribosomal RNA
Rfam family: Bacterial small subunit ribosomal RNA
Source: RNAcentral